CGUUGAUUUGGAGUCGUA
RNAcentral lists this microRNA (18 nucleotides) under Tribolium castaneum (red flour beetle). RNAcentral's name for it is "tca-miR-3851f-5p". Lineage: Eukaryota; Metazoa; Arthropoda; Insecta; Coleoptera; Tenebrionidae. The record is from miRBase by way of RNAcentral.